AACGAACGCUGGCGGCGCGUCUUAAACAUGCAAGUCGAACGAUCUGUAGCAAUACAGGGAGUGGCGGACGGGUGAGGAACACGUAGGAAUCUACCUUGAAGAGCGGGACAACUUUGGGAAACCGGGGCUAAUACCGCAUAGUACAGAGAUGUUAAAGGGCUAGCAAUAGUCGCUUCGAGAUGAGCCUGCGGUCUAUCAGCUUGUUGGUGAGGUAAUGGCUCACCAAGGCUACGACGGAUAGCCGGUCUGAGAGGAUGAUCGGCCACACUGGCACUGAGACACGGGCCAGACUCCUACGGGAGGCAGCAGUUAAGAAUCUUGCGCAAUGGGGGAAACCCUGACGCAGCGACGCCGCGUGAAGGAUGAAGGCUUUCGGGUUGUAAACUUCGGUAGACUGGGAAGAAGGAAAUAACGUUCGUUGAGGGCGUAUAGUGACGGUACCAGUCUGAAGCCCCGGCUAAUUACGUGCCAGCAGCCGCGGUAAU
RNAcentral lists this ribosomal RNA (485 nucleotides) under uncultured bacterium. RNAcentral describes it as "bacterial SSU rRNA". It matches the Rfam family "Bacterial small subunit ribosomal RNA", at positions 29 to 524 of the family's 1533-position model. The record is from RNAcentral.